UUCUAUAUUUAUCAAAGAGUUUUCCUUAUUGGAUAAUGUAACAGCGUCGAUAGAUGGACAGUAACACUAAAUGCUGCAAUUAUCCGACACUUAAUUGUUUUGCUUGAGUGUUUAAAUCGAGGGUUGUUUGAGAGAACAAUCAGGAAGACGAUUGGAGAAAUUCUGACACAUGUUUGGAGGAAAGCAAGUAGCCGAAAAAAUAUGUAUAUCACCUAUAGUACAUCAUCGAAAUUCGCUAACCAUUUUUGAAAGUGAAAAGUGAUAAAUUCGAAAGAUGUGGUGGAAUAAUUAUUUCGUGUUUUAUUUAUUUUAUAUUCUAAAUGUCGUCGGCGAUUCCAUUGCUGUUUCCUUUCACUGUGACGGAGGAUGGGACAAAUUCGAAGAUAAAUGCUACAGGCUGUUUUCUGGAUCCAGAAACUGGUAUCAAGCUCGUGAUGGUUGUGCAGCCCAUGGGUCGACUCUACCAAUAGUGUCAAAUAGAAGAAUCCAAAGAUUUAUCAUCAAACAGUACGGGCAUCUGCUUGGUUCACACGGCGUGUAUUUGUCUGGAAAUGAUAUUAAACAGGAGGGCAGUUGAGAAUGGUUGGAUGAGGACGAACCAUUUUCUUUUCACGCCUGGUA
Molecule: long non-coding RNA, 621 nt
Organism: Saccostrea cuccullata (small rock oyster)
Lineage: Eukaryota; Metazoa; Mollusca; Bivalvia; Ostreida; Ostreidae
Exons: 3
Source: RefSeq, a predicted model, not a curated record